AAGUCGUAACAAGGUUUCCGUAGGUGAACCUGCGGAAGGAUCAUUAUUGAAACUUCUUUGGAGAUAGUACUGUUGCUGGCCUUGUAAUGAGGUAUGUGCACGUCUAUCUCUAAUCUAUUCAUCCACCUGUGCACUUAUUGUAGGAGUUCUUUGAGGCUAUUUUGUACUUGUGCAAUUUGGCUUUACAAGGCUUCUAUGUCUUAACAAACCAUUAGUAUGUCUCUGAAUGUUUUUUUAUUGGGACUUGAUUGGCCCUUUAAACUUGUACAACUUUUAGCAACGGAUCUCUUGGCUCUCC
This 298-nucleotide unclassified non-coding RNA is filed under the name Gymnopus erythropus. RNAcentral describes it as "partial internal transcribed spacer region". The stretch from base 1 to 46 matches the Rfam family "Eukaryotic small subunit ribosomal RNA", at positions 1786 to 1831 of the family's 1831-position model. Lineage: Eukaryota; Fungi; Basidiomycota; Agaricomycetes; Agaricales; Omphalotaceae. The record is from RNAcentral.